Long non-coding RNA from Gossypium arboreum, 360 nucleotides. RefSeq lists it as uncharacterized. The transcript has 2 exons. The record is from RefSeq and is a predicted model, not a curated record. Lineage: Eukaryota; Viridiplantae; Streptophyta; Magnoliopsida; Malvales; Malvaceae.
GAUAAAGGGAAGGAAAAAGUGGUCGAAUAGCCAUCGAAAUCGUUCGACAACAUCCGAGUGCUGCCAAAUCAGCCCGUGGAUCAUAGAACGUCGGAGGCGUCACUCACACUAUCACUCUAAGCUUUUGUUAUAAUUAGUUUUAUUAACUUGAGUAUGGCAUGUAUAUGGAUUGAGUCUUUUUGUUAUGUGUCAUAUUGUUAGGUUAGCCAAUUUUGUUGGCAUGGGAUGAAAACUUUCUUUUUGUUUAAGGCCAUAGUUAAUGGUUAAAAUUAAUUAUUGAAAAUUGCAAAUGAUGAUGCUUCCCUGGAUGAACAAAUGUAUGAAUGAUCAAGUGCAUGUUCGGUUGUUAAAGUGUUAUAA